CUUAAACGCGUGAAGAACUACCGAAUCAUCAUGAUCGAUGAAUCCCACGGUUCCCGUCGCUAACAAACUCCUCGAUCGGAUUCCUCAGGCGUAUAAUAUUCAAAAAGCCCGCCUCUGGCGCGCAGCAUAUUUCGAUCCCCUUGUGAAGAACACUUCGAGAUCGGCUUUAGCCAGCUCGAUCCCUCCGCUCCAUAUUACGAAGAUCUAUUUCGUCGAGGGAGCCUUAGUCACAUCCAAUAUCGGGAGCCGCCGAUCAGACAGAAGAAAAAGAGAGAAAGUAGUUGCAGAGUGCGUGGAGGAAAAGAUCAUGGCGGUAGCCACAACAAUUCUGAACAUCGUGGAAGACAUCUCUCUAUUUGCUUCUUUGCAUUGUUGACUUCUGAUGAAAGAAAUUGGUGAAUGAUACAUCUCACUGGCCUGCGCUUUGUGAGUCUGUAAGUUUCUUUUGGCUUUGUUAGCAAUUGAAAGUUAAGCUUUUUAAAUUGUUCAAAAUUGACCUUAUUGUGAUUCAUGAUAUAAGACACUAACGGAUAAUUAUAAUCGUGGGCAUACAAGGUAUAUAAGCGGUUCAAAAGAAAGCCACAUUGAUUUAGUUCUAUUGUGCAUAGAUGUUAUUGCAACAUGUUCAGAAUCUUAAACGUUCUAUCAUUGACUCUGUUUAAUUAGGGUCUCCACAUUAAUUUUAC
Molecule: long non-coding RNA, 686 nt
Organism: Musa acuminata AAA Group (dessert banana)
Lineage: Eukaryota; Viridiplantae; Streptophyta; Magnoliopsida; Zingiberales; Musaceae
Exons: 3
Source: RefSeq, a predicted model, not a curated record